RNAcentral lists this ribosomal RNA (544 nucleotides) under Marinobacter salarius. Its description in RNAcentral is "bacterial SSU rRNA". It matches the Rfam family "Bacterial small subunit ribosomal RNA", at positions 382 to 918 of the family's 1533-position model. Lineage: Bacteria; Pseudomonadati; Pseudomonadota; Gammaproteobacteria; Pseudomonadales; Marinobacteraceae. The record is from RNAcentral.
CCUGAUCCAGCCAUGCCGCGUGUGUGAAGAAGGCUUUCGGGUUGUAAAGCACUUUCAGUGAGGAGGAAAACCUUAAGUUUAAUACGCUUGAGGCUUGACGUUACUCACAGAAGAAGCACCGGCUAACUCCGUGCCAGCAGCCGCGGUAAUACGGAGGGUGCAAGCGUUAAUUAGAAUUACUGGGCGUAAAGCGCGCGUAGGUGGUUUGAUAAGCGAGAUGUGAAAGCCCCGGGCUCAACCUGGGAACGGCAUUUCGAACUGUCAGGCUAGAGUAUGGUAGAGGAGUGGGGAAUUUCCUGUGUAGCGGUGAAAUGCGUAGAUAUAGGAAGGAACACCAGCGGCGAAGGCGGCACUCUGGACCAAUACUGACACUGAGGUGCGAAAGCGUGAAGAGCAAACAGGAUUAGAUACCCUGGUAGUCCACGCUGUAAACGAUGUCAACUAGCCGUUGGGACUCUUGAAGUCUUAGUGGCGCAGCUAACGCACUAAGUUGACCGCCUGGGGAGUACGGCCGCAAGGUUAAAACUCAAAUGAAUUGACGGGG